AUACGAAAGGGGCAAGCGUUGUUCGGAUUUACUGGGCGUAAAGAGAUCGUAGGUGGUUUAUCAAGUCGGAUGUGAAAUCCCGGGGCUCAACCCCGGAACUGCAUUCGAUACUGGUAGACUUGAGUUCGGGAGGGGGAUGCGGAAUUCCGCGUGUAGCAGUGAAAUGCGUAGAUAUGCGGAGGAACACCAGAGGCGAAGGCGGCAUCCUGGACCGAUACUGACACUGAGGAUCGAAAGCGUGGGUAGCAAACAGGAUUAGAAACCCGAGUAGUCC
RNAcentral lists this ribosomal RNA (274 nucleotides) under uncultured bacterium. RNAcentral's name for it is "partial 16S ribosomal RNA". It matches the Rfam family "Bacterial small subunit ribosomal RNA", at positions 523 to 796 of the family's 1533-position model. The record is from RNAcentral.